Molecule: unclassified non-coding RNA, 245 nt
Filed under: Stagonospora sp.
Lineage: Eukaryota; Fungi; Ascomycota; Dothideomycetes; Pleosporales; Massarinaceae
Description: partial contains 5.8S ribosomal RNA, internal transcribed spacer 2, and large subunit ribosomal RNA
Source: RNAcentral
CGCACAUUGCGCCCCUCGGUAUUCCGUGGGGCAUGCCUGUUCGAGCGUCAUUUACACCCUCAAGCUCUGCUUGGUGUUGGGCGCCUGUCCCGCUUCGUGCGCGGACUCGCCCCAAAGUCAUUGGCAGCGGUCGUGCCAGCUUCCCGCGCAGCACAUUUGCGCUUCUCGGAGCUUGGUGGAUCAGCGUCCAGUAAGUCCUUCUAUGACUUGACCUCGGAUCAGGUAGGGAUACCCGCUGAACUUAA